Cucumis sativus (cucumber) is the source of this 1867-nucleotide RNA transcript. It is a transcript of the gene named transcription factor TGA2.3, with no coding region annotated. NCBI's taxonomy places the organism in Eukaryota, Viridiplantae, Streptophyta, Magnoliopsida, Cucurbitales, Cucurbitaceae. The transcript is spliced from 13 exons. The record is from RefSeq and is a predicted model, not a curated record.
GGUUGGGGUGAGGAACCAAACAAAAGUACUUUUGAAAGGCCACAUGGCAGGUGGAGAGAAAAAUCCCCAAGGACAAUAUUUUCCAUAUCCCUGAAUCCAAGUUUGAAAUAAAAAGCUAUCCAAUAACCUCCACUUUUCUUCAUACAGAAGAAGAGAAGAAGAAGAUCAUCAAAAACUCAGAAGAAGAAGAAGAAGAAGAAACCAAUGGUUUGAAGAACAAGAAAUUUUUGGAAUGGAGAGCCAAAGAGUACUUGAAGAAACUUGUUCUGUUUAUGGAAUCAACAACAAUAUUAAUCUUUCUUCAACUUUGAUCAAUAAUCAUGAUGGGCAAUCUUUUGACUUUGGAGAAUUGGAACAAGCAAUUGUGCUACAAGGACUCGGCGCGAUGAAUAAACUCGAUCAUUACGAACCUAAACAAAGCUUUUUGUCAGGGAAGCCUGCAGCAACACUGGAAAUGUUCCCUUCUUGGCCAAUCAAAUACCAACAAACUUCAAGAGGAGUUAGUUUGAGAAAAAGAGAAGAGAUGCUGAGAGGAUCAGGUAAUUACAAUAACAGUAACGAAGAAAAGGAAAUGGAAAUAUUGGGUAAAGAUGAAGAGGAUGAAGAAGAAAGUGAAAUGAGUAAUUGUUCAGCUCCUCAACAACAACAACAACAACAUGAACAUAACUAUAACACCUCCUGCUUUAAUAUUAUUAACAAUAUUCAACCUCAUCAAGUUCUUAUGGUCAGUACUGAUGUUUCAACAACUGCACUUUCAUCUCAACAUCAGUACUCUCUUCAACAAAAGAGAAAAGGAUGUGGUUCAAUUUCAACAUCACAGAAACAACUUGACGCUAAGACAUUGAGACGUUUAGCUCAAAACAGAGAGGCAGCGAGGAAGAGUCGACUAAGGAAGAAGGCUUACGUACAGCAACUUGAGAGUAGUAGAAUUAAGCUUACACAGCUUGAACAAGACUUUCAACGUGCACGUUCUCAGGGUAUUGGCGGCGGCAAUGGCAAUGGCAAUGUCAACCAUGGGAGUGGUGCAUUGUGGUUUGAUAUGGAAUAUGUGAGGUGGUUGGAAGAGGAGCAUCGACACACAAUGGAGUUGCGUGGGGGCUUAGAGGCACAUUUAUCGGACACAGAGUUGAAAGUGAGGGUUGAUGCGUGCAUUUAUCAUUACGAUCAAUUUUUUCGAUUGAAAAGCGAGGCUGCUAAGUUUGACAUCUUCCAUCUCAUCACUGGGAUGUGGAUGUCUCCUGCUGAGCGUUGUUUCCUUUGGAUUGGUGGAUUUCGACCAUCUGAUCUCAUCAAGAUGUUAAUGUCACAAUUGGAUCCAAUAACAGAACAACAAGUGAUGGAAAUUUAUAAACUACAAAAUUCCUCACAACAGGCUGAAGAUGCUUUAUCUCAAGGCCUUGAUCAGCUCCAUCAGUCUUUGAUCGACACCGUCGCCGGCAGUCCGAUUGUCGAUGGAGGAAUCAACCACAUGGUUUUGGCCAUGGACAAGCUCUCUAGUCUCCAUGGCUUUCUCCAUCAGAUAUUUUAAGACAACAAACGCUUCAUCAACUACGUAGGAUACUUACGAUCCGACAAGCAGCCAAAUGUUUUCUAGUCAUUGGUGAAUAUUACAGUAGAUUACGAGCUCUAAGCUCCCUAUGGUCCUCUCGUCCAAAAGAGGGUAUUGAAGACAAUUCAUGCCAAACAAGUACACAUCAGCAAGUGCAUAUGGUUCAACCUUCACACCAUUACUUCUCAACCUUCAAUUAAUCAAACUCAUUAAUGGAAGUCUCUAAUUGUUACCCUUUGUUGUUCUUCUCAAUCAUUGAGGGAUUUAUAUUACUAUUAUCACCUAUUAACUUUUACUACUUUUACUUUAUUAGUGUUA